RNAcentral lists this ribosomal RNA (541 nucleotides) under uncultured fungus. RNAcentral describes it as "eukaryotic LSU rRNA". The stretch from base 189 to 341 matches the Rfam family "5.8S ribosomal RNA". Lineage: Eukaryota; Fungi. The record is from RNAcentral.
AGUCGUAACAAGGUUUCCGUAGGUGAACCUGCGGAAGGAUCAUUACCUAGAGUUUGUAGACUUCGGUCUGCUACCUCUUACCCAUGUCUUUUGAGUACCUUCGUUUCCUCGGCGGGUCCGCCCGCCGAUUGGACAACAUUCAAGCCCUUUGCAGUUGCAAUCAGCGUCUGAAAAAACAUAAUAGUUACAACUUUCAACAACGGAUCUCUUGGUUCUGGCAUCGAUGAAGAACGCAGCGAAAUGCGAUAAGUAGUGUGAAUUGCAGAAUUCAGUGAAUCAUCGAAUCUUUGAACGCACAUUGCGCCCCUUGGUUUCCAUGGGGCAUGCCUGUUCGAGCGUCAUUUGUACCUUCAAGCUCUGCUUGGUGUUGGGUGUUUGUCUCGCCUCUGCGUGUAGACUCGCCUUAAAACAAUUGGCAGCCGGCGUAUUGAUUUCGGAGCGCAGUACAUCUCGCGCUUUGCACUCAUAACGACGACGUCCAAAAGUACAUUUAUACACUCUUGACCUCGGAUCAGGUAGGGAUACCCGCUGAACUUAAGCA